CAAUAGCGUAUAUUAAAGCUGUUGCGGUUAAAAAGCUCGUAGUUGGAUUUCUGUCAAGGACAACUGGUCCGCCCUCCGGGUGAGCACAUAGUUUGGUCUUGACAUCUUGCUGGAAGCUGUUGCUGCACUUGGCUGUGUGGCGCAGUGUUCAGCACUUUCACUUUGAGGAAAUUGGAGUGUUUCAAGCAGGCACAUGCCUUUGGACACAGUAGCAUGGAAUAAUUAGAUUGGGCUUUUGCUCCAAUCUGUCGGUUUCUGGAGCUGAGGUGAGUAUUAAUGGGGAUUGUUGGGGGCAUCCGAAUUUAGCCGUCAGAGGUGAAAUUCUUGGAUCUGCUAAAGACGGACAACUGCGAAAGCGUUUGCCCAGGAUGUUUUCAUUG
Molecule: ribosomal RNA, 380 nt
Filed under: uncultured eukaryote
Lineage: Eukaryota
Description: partial 18S ribosomal RNA
Rfam family: Eukaryotic small subunit ribosomal RNA
Source: RNAcentral